UACGUAGGUGGCAAGCGUUGUCCGGAAUUAUUGGGCGUAAAGCGCGCGCAGGCGGUCAUUUAAGUCUGAUGUGAAAGCCCACGGCUCAACCGUGGAGGGUCAUUGGAAACUGGGGGACUUGAGUGCAGGAGAGAAGAGUGGAAUUCCACGUGUAGCGGUGAAAUGCGUAGAGAUGUGGAGGAACACCAGUGGCGAAGGCGACUCUUUGGUCUGUAACUGACGCUGAGGCGCGAAAGCGUGGGGAGCAAACAGG
Molecule: ribosomal RNA, 253 nt
Filed under: uncultured bacterium
Lineage: Bacteria
Description: partial 16S ribosomal RNA
Rfam family: Bacterial small subunit ribosomal RNA
Source: RNAcentral